Molecule: ribosomal RNA, 493 nt
Filed under: Streptomyces cavourensis
Lineage: Bacteria; Bacillati; Actinomycetota; Actinomycetes; Kitasatosporales; Streptomycetaceae
Description: partial 23S ribosomal RNA
Rfam family: Bacterial large subunit ribosomal RNA
Source: RNAcentral
CUCGACUGUCUCAACCAUAGGCCCGGUGAAAUUGCACUACGAGUAAAGAUGCUCGUUUCGCGCAGCAGGACGGAAAGACCCCGGGACCUUUACUAUAGUUUGAUAUUGGUGUUCGGUUCGGCUUGUGUAGGAUAGGUGGGAGACUGUGAAGCGGCCACGCCAGUGGUUGUGGAGUCGUCGUUGAAAUACCACUCUGGUCGUGCUGGAUGUCUAACCUGGGUCCGUGAUCCGGAUCAGGGACAGUGUCUGAUGGGUAGUUUAACUGGGGCGGUUGCCUCCUAAAGGGUAACGGAGGCGCCCAAAGGUUCCCUCAGCCUGGUUGGUAAUCAGGUGUUGAGUGUAAGUGCACAAGGGAGCUUGACUGUGAGACCGACGGGUCGAGCAGGGACGAAAGUCGGGACUAGUGAUCCGGCAGUGGCUUGUGGAAGCGCUGUCGCUCAACGGAUAAAAGGUACCCCGGGGAUAACAGGCUGAUCUUCCCCAAGAGUCCAUA